CCUACGGGAGGCUGCAGUCGAGAAUCUUGGGCAAUGCACGAAAGUGUGACCCAGCGACGCCGCGUGAAGGAUGAAGGCCCUCUGGGUCGUAAACUUCUUUUAAGGGGGAAAAAUCAAUGAUGGUACCCCUUGAAUAAGCCACGGCUAACUACGUGCCAGCAGCCGCGGUAAUACGUAGGUGGCAAGCGUUGUCCGGAUUUACUGGGCGUAAAGCGUAUGCAGGCGGACCGUUAAGUAGGAAGUGAAAGGUUGGAGCUCAACUCUAACACUGCUCCCUAUACUGGCGGUCUUGAGUGGCGGAGAGGAAGACGGAACGACACGUGUAGCGGUGAAAUGCGUUGAUAUGUGUCGGAACACCAAUGGCGAAAGCAGUCUUCUGGACGCAAACUGACGCUGAGAUACGAAAGCCAAGGUAGCAAACAGGAUUAGAUACCCGAGUA
This 440-nucleotide ribosomal RNA is filed under the name uncultured bacterium. RNAcentral describes it as "bacterial SSU rRNA". It matches the Rfam family "Bacterial small subunit ribosomal RNA", at positions 338 to 792 of the family's 1533-position model. The record is from RNAcentral.